Long non-coding RNA from Herpailurus yagouaroundi (jaguarundi), 1617 nucleotides. RefSeq lists it as uncharacterized. NCBI's taxonomy places the organism in Eukaryota, Metazoa, Chordata, Mammalia, Carnivora, Felidae. The transcript has 2 exons. The record is from RefSeq and is a predicted model, not a curated record.
ACAGAGCCCAACGUGGGGCUCGAACUCAUGAAUCGAGAGAUCAUAAACUGAGCCAAAGUCAGACACUUAACUGACUGAGCCACCCAGGUGCUCCAGAACAUGGUAGUUCUUCUGGGAAACUGAGUUGGGAUGGUUGGGCUGCCAGCUUUCAUGCUUCAAAGCUACUUAGCCCAUAGUUCAAUUAAAUGAAGGUACUUAGGGGACCAGACCUUCCUGAGCACCCUUUUCAGUUCACUCUUCCAGAGACCUGAGCUACCAUGGGUUCUUGGCUCUGAGGAGCCUGAACUCAUGGAUCGAGACAGAAAAAGCACAAUAUUCUUGAACAGCAUGGAGUUUUUCAUUGAAUAUGUUCCUGCUCAUUACUCUGUCCCUAGUUACUUGUCUUAAAUCUUGGCAUCACAUCACAAAUUAUUCUUUCAGUAUUUGGAAACUUGAGUUUUAUGGGUAAUCGGUAUCUCCACGUGGUUAGAAAGCCUAUCAUUCCAUGAAACCUCCACAAAGGCAAGGGAAUAAAUAGGUAUAAAUUAUCCAGUCUUUCAUUUAACAGAAAAAGUUAAAGUGAAUGCUCUACCUCUUGAAAUUCAGACUAUAGCGAAGAAGCUAUUUUUUCAAUUUGAGAGUAUAAAGUUAUCUGUGGAGAAUUGAAUGUUUUUUCCACAGAUGAUGUAUUAGUGUGGGGGAGGGGGAAGGCUGGGAAUGGGGAGUGUUCCCAAAUGCCAGUAAAAAGGUAAAACCAAUUUGCCUCAAGUGUUGCUGACACUGCCUUUGGUUUGAAGGAAGCUAGAGCAUAGCUCUUCACUCAGUUGAGCUGAUGAGACAGAGCUUAACAUCUCCACUGUUGGAAUUAAGACAUUGGUGUCUGUCCCCCAGGUAGUAUUUAUUUUCUUCUGUUAGAAACAACAUAUGUGUGUCCACUGUACUCUACAUACCUGGAUUUUCAAGCUUCCUAAUUUACUCAUUCUGGAGUUCCUGAAAUAAGAAAGUAAGUCGUGCUUGAACAUUACUGCCCAGAGCAACACUGGCCUUUCACUUAAUGUGACCGCUGAUGCUAGGCCAACAUGGUAAGGAGCUUGUCUUUGUCCUAAAGGUAGUUUGUACAUUUUCAGGUGGAAAGGGAAGAUACUAUGCCAGAUGGUCUCACAACCAUCCUGAAAACUCCUACCCCUGGUCUGCAUUAGCAAGUUGAGGGUUAGAGAAUUAUCUGAUGCCACAUAGCUAAGAAUUAAUAAGGCUCAAUUUCUAACUCAAACCUUUGCCCUUUGUAUUUGAUAACACAAAGCGUUGUCUAAUGUAAUUACUUCUGAAACCUCAAAAUUCUUGAAAUUAGCCUUUAAGUUGUUAAUAGAAUGUCUCCUCUUCCUGUUAUUAAAUGUUUUGAGCUUUGGCCACUAGGUGGUGCCUCGAGGAAAAUAAAACAUCUUUUUAAGUAUCUGGGAGAAAUUGAGUCACUUGGGCUGACUGUAGGAGAGUGAGGAGUUGAACACUUGUCUCUUGUUAAACAUUAACAUCAUUUGCAGUUAUAAAUUCACAUUUAAGCACAGGAGACCUGUGUAUGUAUCUGGGACUGAGGGGAAAUGCCCAAGAUCUGCCAUGGUAUGGAGCAGAUUGUGACGACAG